Molecule: long non-coding RNA, 636 nt
Organism: Salvelinus sp. IW2-2015
Lineage: Eukaryota; Metazoa; Chordata; Actinopteri; Salmoniformes; Salmonidae
Source: RefSeq, a predicted model, not a curated record
UUCUCUCUUCAGGGUAAAUUCCUCCAGACGAUGCAGUAUGCGGCCACUGGUAUGUCUGUCUCGUGAGGCCAUAGAAGCCGUGGCCAGGGAGGGCCUGGCCUGCUGUGUGCACAUGGAGCUGGAGGGCGUGUUCAGUCUGAAGAACAGCCACUUUGAGCCGCGUUACAUCCUGAUGAUCCCCACAGACAAGGAGCAGUACGGCAGGCGGCUGAGGACCAGAGCUCUGUACACCCGGACCCAGAAUAGAUAAGGCUGUAGCCCGCGUGGAUACAUACGCCCUGAUCAACAGAGAACGCCCAGGCUUCUUCGACAACGUCAUCCCCUGUGAUGAGCCAGUGAGGCAUACAGAAACCCUGAGGCAGGUGGUGAAGGACUAUUGGGAGUGGAGAGCAGGGAGGAGAGGACCAGAGCACCACAGACACCCCAGACAACACCUCCACAGAGUUGAAGAGGUACUCCUUAGUGGACGAGGCGCUCCCAGCCCCCUCCACCAGGCCAGAGACAGUCUUUAUGUCCCGCUCCGCUCCAGACAUGGACCCCUCGGACCAACACUGUAGGAAGUACUACAACAAGGUUCAGGCCCAGCUCACCCCACAGAAGACCUCAGCAGAGCUGGCCUCCAUCCACAGACACAGC